This 426-nucleotide ribosomal RNA is filed under the name uncultured bacterium. Its description in RNAcentral is "partial 16S ribosomal RNA". It matches the Rfam family "Bacterial small subunit ribosomal RNA", at positions 354 to 796 of the family's 1533-position model. The record is from RNAcentral.
GUGAGGAAUUUUCCGCAAUGGGCGAAAGCCUGACGGAGCAAUGCCGCGUGAAGGAUGAAGGCCUAUGGGUUGUAAACUUCUUUUCUCAGAAAAGAAUUAUGACGGUAUCUGAGGAAUAAGCAUCGGCUAACUCUGUGCCAGCAGCCGCGGUAAGACAGAGGAUGCAAGCGUUAUCCGGAAUGAUUGGGCGUAAAGCGUCUGUAGGUUGUUUAAAAAGUAUUCUGUCAAAGAUUAGGGCUUAACCCUAGAUAGGCAGAAUAAACUUUUAAGCUAGAGUUUGGUAGAGGCAGAGGGAAUUCCCGGUGGAGCGGUGAAAUGCGUAGAUAUCGGGAGGAACACCAAAGGCGAAGGCACUCUGCUGGGCCAAUACUAACACUGAGAGACGAAAGCGAGAGGAGCAAAUGGGAUUAGAAACCCCGGUAGUCC